UCCCGGCGGUCCAAGUCGCAUCCACAAUUAUUGGGUCUAAAACAUUCGUAGCUUGUUUUGUAAGUCUCUUGUGAAAUCUUAUGUCUUAAAUAUGAGGCGUGCAAGAGAUACUGCAUUACUAGAGAUCGGAAGACGCAAGGAGUAUGACUGAGGUAGUGGUAAAAUACGUUAAUCUUGGUCAGACUAACAACGGCGAAGGCACCUUGCGAGUACGAAUCUGACAGUGAGGGAUGAAGGCUAGGGGCGCGAAAGG
RNAcentral lists this ribosomal RNA (253 nucleotides) under uncultured archaeon. RNAcentral's name for it is "partial 16S ribosomal RNA". It matches the Rfam family "Archaeal small subunit ribosomal RNA", at positions 474 to 726 of the family's 1478-position model. The record is from RNAcentral.